CGGCGGAGCACGGGACGCGGACGAGGAGCCGGCAGCAAAGACGGCAGCAGACGUGCUUUUUUAAACAAUGCGGAGAUGCCGGCAGCUCCUCCUGCCUCUUCACCUUCUGCAUAGACAUAUUAGAACAUCAUAAGAUAAGAGAUUUAACUAUCCCCUCAUUUUGUGGGAGGGGAGGUGAAUCUGUACAGGCUGCAUCUCCCCCAGCUGACGGAUUGAUGCUGAAGUGUUGAAGUCACGGAGGGCUGCAUGAGCGGCUCAGCGGCCCGUUGGCUCACGCAGGACGCCGCCGAUGCUGCUUGUUUUACCUGAGAAAUAGGAUGCUAAUCCCUUUGAUGCAUUUGUGGAGGCGGGAGGGGCGGACUUCCUGUCUGUCAGCUUCCCCGUGCCAAAAACAAAGCUCCUCGGCUAAAAGCGCCAACAUGCUACAAAGAUAGCGGCAUCCUUUGUGACAUGUGAAUUACAGCACAGUAUAUAUGAUGCUUCUACUUACGACUAACAAGAGCAGCAGCAGUUCCAGGAACAGGAACUUCCCCUUCGUUUCAGACCCAUGACUCUGUUAUGGAGAGUCCUGCUCUCUAAUGGAGUCAGAGUCCGACACAGACCACAAGGCCGCUAAAUUAGGGAAGUCAUCAUCAGCGGCAGACAAACGACGGUUAGCUCGGCUCCUGACUCCCAAAUGCGGAAAACCAACGGGGUCACGGUCCGUCUCCUCUUCGCCGCCGCCCCGUUUUGAUCUGGCCUUGCAGUGUAUCGCCAGACGCCCUUGCAAACAUUAUUCGAAAGCAGCUUCAUGCUGGUGCCGGGCAACCUGCCAAAGGCCGUUGACAAACCUGCCAGCGUGGGUUGUUUGCUGUCAGCGCGCAGGUCAGCAUUCGCAUACGUACGGAGGUUCCAGCACCGAGCAGGUUUCAUAUAGUUACUUCUUGUAUAAAACUCCAAGCUCUAAUUUGAACUGCUUUACAUUCAUUAAAACACGUUGCUGUAUCUGUCAGACCAAAGUUGUGGCUACAAACCGCUAACUAAUAAAAUAUCAAACUCAUUGCCAAUAAAAUGUCUGUCAAUCAUGUAUUCAAGCAGUCAACUAAUUGCUGCACCGCCAGAGCUUUCUGAGUGUCUGGGGAAAUUAUAACAUGGCUGAAUGUAAUGGGGGUCAACAGGGGCCCAAGAAGAAAUUAUAGCCCCAGGGCCUCUUAGGAGGUUAAUCUGGCCACGGUACACUUGAAAUGAAGUACUGUAGUAGCUACUGGAGUGUCUUUGUCUCAUGAAUGAGUUUUUUAGAAUGCAACGAUACAAAGCAAUGGGUUUAUUUUCGGAGGUUCAAAGAAACACUUCAAGGGUCGUUAUUGUAUGUCUUUGUCACCUUCACGCACACACACACACACACACACACACACACACACACACACACGCAACUCAUUUAUAUGUGACAGUGGGAACGGAGAAGGCUCGAGUCUCCACCAAAUCCCUAAAAGCUGUCACCGACUUCAAACACUGAGUUCUUCACAGUGGAGCGCCUCCGCCGGGCGACACAGCCGCCUGUCUUUAAUUUUCCAUAGGAGCCCCUUUGAUACGGCCUGUGCAGUCCGGAGACAGCGCACAGCAAGGUAGAUCAGGACUGAGUGUGUAUAUGUUACAUAGAACCAUGUGAAAUACAGUAUACAAACACACACACCAGCACCAGACAUGAACUUUGAUAAGAAUCCUUAGCAAAACAUGUUUAAGUAGAUGAGGGAGAAGGUAGAAAGUCCUGCAUCAGAGCAUCAGUCCACAGAAUUAUCAUUUACAGAUUUAAACACUGUAUUAAUUUUCAUGAGGCAUGGGUAAUUUAUGAGUGGUGUGGGACCGUGCGUAUCUAUCAGUGUCAGAGUGACAUGUGUGGGGCGAUAAUCUAUUCUAUGACCCAAAUUGUUGAAAGGCUACAAAACCGCGCUGCAGCCCUCCCAUCCGAUUUCACAGCUCAUCACUGUCAGAACCGUAGACUGCACACGCGCAUGUGUGUGUGUGUCUGUGUGUGUGAGUGAGGAUAUGAUAAGAGGAAUGUGUUAUCCAUCUUAUCCAGAGGAGAUGUUUUGAAAGGAACUCUGUUAUUAAUAAAUGCAUGAGAGCCAACAGAAAAAGGAACAUUCUGCCGCUUUGCAGAAAUAAAGAGCAAGAGAGAGAGGGAGAGAGGGAGGAAGCUUGUUAGCAUUCUCCGAGACGCGGCUCGUGCUAGGAGCUACGUCCUCAAUGGGAGACGCAUUAGAUCUGGUUAGCGCGCCUAUCUGUUAUUCACAGCUCUGAGAGAAACACUGGUGGCGAGAUCAACGGCAGUCACUUACAAUAUAUCCCGGAGCAACAUCGUCUCAUUCAUGUGCAAAAGAAUCCUUAAUAACCACGGCUGGAGAUAGUGGAGAGGCUGCGAAGUUGGCAAAAAGCUUGUGGAGGCGCAGAGCUUUGAUUUCCAUGGUUGGUAUGGAUUCAAUGCAAACUUGAUUAAGAAGUGGGAAUAAAGACGAGGAGGUCGGGGAUUGUUUUGAAUGUAUUAUUUAAUAUAAAGUAAUUUAUGGGCUUUGUAUAAUGGAGAUGCUCAAUAAAAGGGAAUCUUGUUUGUCCUUUGAAGGGAAUCUCCUCUUAGCCCCUUUUUUAUUUAUUUUAAUCUAUAGCUGCAUUUAUAGAUGGCAAACAACUCCUGCAGCUUACUGCUUUAUUAGAAUUCUCCCAACCUGGCGGACGCUCACCAGGAAGCAGAAGCGUGAACAGACGUCCGCGGGUCCAGGGCUGGCGCCUCAAAUGUUAAUAAAAUCAAGGGGAAAUUGCUCGGUGUUUAUCUGUAAGAUGACAAAACGCCUGGACGUUGAUCCCAGACGCGUGCUAUAAGCUCACAAACGCACAAAUGACAUUUUAAAUGCUAAUUCCACAUGUGUGGGGGCUUAUUAGAUAAUAUGGACGGGCUUAGCACUGUUUUUUUUGUAAUGUUGAAUAUUAUAUCACAAGCAAAUGUAUGUUUUCUUAAAGGUGUACCUACUUUGAGUGUAAAGUGUUCCUACUCGUGUGUGAUGCUACACACAUAGAACUGUCAAUAAAGUCACGAUUUGGAGGAAAACAGA
This is a long non-coding RNA of Betta splendens (Siamese fighting fish), 3086 nucleotides long. RefSeq lists it as uncharacterized. The transcript is spliced from 2 exons. The record is from RefSeq and is a predicted model, not a curated record. Lineage: Eukaryota; Metazoa; Chordata; Actinopteri; Anabantiformes; Osphronemidae.